CCUACGGGAGGCAGCAGUAAGGAAUAUUGGUCAAUGGACGCAAGUCUGAACCAGCCAUGCCGCGUGAAGGAUUAAGGCCCUCUGGGUUGUAAACUUCUUUUAUAGGGGACGAAAAAAGGGCAUUCUUGCUCACUUGACGGUACCCUAGGAAUAAGCACCGGCUAACUCCGUGCCAGCAGCCGCGGUAAUACGGAGGGUGCAAGCGUUAUCCGGAUUUACUGGGUUUAAAGGGUGCGUAGGUGGGUUGGUAAGUCAGUGGUGAAAUCUUCGAGCUUAACUCGGAAACUGCCAUUGAUACUAUCAAUCUUGAAUCAUCUAGAGGUAAGCGGAAUAUGUCAUGUAGCGGUGAAAUGCUUAGAUAUGACAUAGAACACCAAUUGCGAAGGCAGCUUACUAUGGAUGCAUUGACACUGAGGCACGAAAGCGUGGGGAUCAAACAGGAUUAGAUACCCUGGUAGUCCACGCCCUAAACGAUGGAUACUCGACAUUUGUGAUAUACCAAUAAGUGUNUGNGNGAGAGAUAGUAUCCACCGNGGUAAGUACGACGCGAGUAGUUAAGUUAGAAGAAGUUAGAGCGNGAGAGNGCGACGGACGACGACGAGGGAGAGG
RNAcentral lists this ribosomal RNA (609 nucleotides) under uncultured bacterium. RNAcentral's name for it is "bacterial SSU rRNA". The stretch from base 1 to 532 matches the Rfam family "Bacterial small subunit ribosomal RNA", at positions 338 to 873 of the family's 1533-position model. The record is from RNAcentral.